RNAcentral lists this long non-coding RNA (5891 nucleotides) under Homo sapiens (human). Its description in RNAcentral is "HSALNT0231612". Lineage: Eukaryota; Metazoa; Chordata; Mammalia; Primates; Hominidae. The record is from RNAcentral.
GGGCCGGGCGCGCGCCGGGGCGCCCCACCCCGCCUCCGCCCCCGCCCCACGCGCCGGCGGCGCGGACCUCCUUGUCAAUGGGAGCGCGGGGCCGGGCUGCCCGCAGGACGGUCAGGUGGGCCCCCCAGCUCGCUGCCAGCGCGGCCUCUGUCCCUCUCGGGCCGGCUCUCCAUCUUGUCGCCCGUAGCCCGCCUUCUCCGUGGCUCUCCAGCCGCUGGGGCCGCAGAGCCGAGGCCGGGUUACCUCAGGAAACGCGAUGUGGUAGUGGGUCGGAAUAAACCCGCGCGCCCCAGAAUUCGCCUUGGGGGCGUAAGGACAGAUUCGGACUUUUCGUUUCCUAUGUCCACAUUUAUUGAGCACCUAAUAUGUGACACCCGAGGCUGUAAGAAGAGGAACGCAGCGGGCGGAGAAAAGCCAGAGCUUUUUCUCUGUGAGCCGCUGCCUCCAGGGCCAUAGCCGACCCUGCUCCGAGAUCCCAGCCGCCGCUCUCCGUGCAGGAGGGGUGCCCACCCUGGGGAGGCCAGGGUGCCCGGAGUGGAGGGACAGGGCUUCAAGCGACCGGGAGUUUCCAGCAAACCCCUGAUCCCUGAGCAGUUUAUUUUAAAAGCUUUUGCAAAUGUUGGACGGUUUCGUUUGGUGGAGGCCGUCUUUGCACUAAAUUCUCCUGUCCUCCCCCUUCGAAACGCACAAAAUGAAUUUUGAACAGAUUUUGGAUGAGAGGUUUUCUUCCUUUUUUCAUCUUCUGAAACAUUUCCCCCUCAUUUCUUCUCAGAUAAAGACCCAGAAACCCGGGACAGUUACUCGGUGUACAGCUAGUCAAAUACUGAGGAAACCAGUCGAUAUUUGCCAAAGAUUGGGCAUGUUCUGGGUGGUCUCAGAUUUUGAAGAAACGACUUUUUUACUGCACAAAAUAGUUUUACAAUCAGUUCCAUCAGACAGCCCCAGGGGCUCUCCUAGGGAAAGGGGCCAAUAGGCAAGGUUGCAUGGGGAUAAGAGAGGCAAGCGGCCAGUGGAAAACGGUUUUUUGUUUUUUUUUUCCUAACAGUUGGGCAUUUCUGUAGCUCUGAAAGCAAACUUGUUUGUUUCAUUUCAACGAUAGAAAAAAAACACUCCUGUUUUGGAAAUGUAACCCAGCAUAAAAAUACAUUUGCAAUGGGGAAAAAGAAAGCAGUUUAGGGCCACCCAGAAGAAAAUAUUUUUUCCCUGAUUUUUUUUUAAUUUGGUAUUUCCCAGUGUGGGUUUGCCUCAUUUUACAAAUAGCUGCCCAUGUCAAGAUGUGGGUAUGUGAUUUAAAUAUUUUAAUUUGAAUCACAUUUUACAUAGUCUAGGAAACUGACAAAAGAAUCCUAUAGAGAAUUGUUUUAUAAAGUGAAUAACUGCUUCUCUACCUACCCGCCCCUCUCAUUCUUCUUUUCUGUGCGUGUUUUUGGGGGGCUGUUAUGGGAUAAAUCUUGUUUGGCUUAAAAAUCACUAAAACGCAGCCUUUCAAAUCCAAAACAGAGAGCUUAGGUACCCAACAUUCUAUAGAAUGUAUUAUUUCCUCAAGAGGUUGCUAGGAACAGUUAUGUAGAUCUACCAGGUGCAGGGAAGCACUCCACACCCUCACCCAGGUCCUGUAUCCCUGCAAGACUGCGUUGGAAAGACUGAAGAGGAAGCUAAAGAAUGAUGCGCUCCACCACAAUGAGGGACUAAACAACAAAAAGGAGGCAUGAGAUUCAGGAAGCAAAAAAGAGCUGACAAGCCAUAGCAGGACGGCUAUCCCCUGAGAGAUAGGAGAGGAGGAGAAACAGCCUGACAGGGGCCUGGAGCAGCUGGCUGGCGUCAGUAAUUUCCUGCAGGAGACUCUGCUGGCCGAGCACACAUCACCCUUCUGUUGCUCCUCUGUAUUCUCCCUUGUGCUACUAAAAUACGCUAAUGUAACUCCUGGGCUGUGCUAAGCUAAAUGCAGUUAUUUAACCUCAUUUCUAUGGAACCCAGGUCUAAAGCAGCAACAUCUAUUUGGAACAAGAUGGGGAGGAGCAAGAGUGAAUUCAUGCUCUUCUUCAUGGAGGUGGAUGUUUCUGGAAGGAGGUUUGUGAUGUCCUUUGCAGGGACAUGGAUGGAGUUGGAAGCCCUUAUCCUCAGCAAACUAAUGCAGGAACAGAAAACCAAACACUGCAUGUUCUUACUUAUAAGUGGGAACUGAAUGAUGAGAACACAUGGACACAUAAGGGGAAAUGACACACACUGGGGCCUGUCAGAGCUGAGGGGUUGUGGGGAGAGGGAGAGAAUCAGGAAUAAUGGCUAAUGUAUGCUGUGCUUAAUAUCUAGGUGAUGGGAUGAUCUGUGCAGCAAACCACCAUGGCACACGUUUACCUAUGUAACAAACCUGGACAUCCUGCACAUGUAUCCUGGAACUUAAAAUAAAAGUUGAAGAAAAAAAAAAAAGAAAAAGUUUUGUGAAGUCUGGAGGUGUAAUGGACAGACACAGGCUUAGGGUGAGGCAGGCCCAUGUUCAGAUCCUUGCUUCCUCACUAAGCUAGCAGGGAGACUGGCUAUAUCACCGAGCCUCAGUUUCCUCACCUGUACAUCUGCUGUAGAAGUGGCAUAUCAUAUGCUGUCCUGGCUGUGACCUUUGGUAGCUCAUCACUGCCCUUCUUACUGUUCUCAGGGUAAACCCCUUUCCAGGCAGAGUUGCCAAGACACCCAGUAAAAUUUGAAUUUCAGAUAAACACUGAAUAAUUUUUUAGUAUAAUGAUGCUCCAAAUAUUGCAUGGGAUAUACUUAACACUAAAAAAAAAAUCAUUGUUUGUCUGAAAUUCAGAUUUAACUGGGCAACCUGCAUUUUUAAAUAAACUUUUAAUUUUAGAAUCAUUUUAGAUUUACAGAAAAAAAUAUAAAGAUCGUACAGAGUUACCACACACCCUGCACCCAGUUUCCCCUAUAACUAAUAUCUUACGUCGAGCCAGUGCAGUGGCGCACAUUUGUAAUCCUAGCUGCUCAGGAGGCUGAGGUGGGAGUAUUGUUUGAGCCCAGGAGCUCGAGGCUGCAGUGAGCCAUGAUUGCACCAUUGCACUCCAGCCUGAGUGACGGAGUAAGAUGCCAUCUUUUAAAAAAAAAUCUUAUGCCAGUAUGAUACAUUUGUCACAAUUAAUGAACUAAGAUUGAUAUAUUAUCAUUAACUAAAGUCUAUACUUCAUUAGAUUUCCUUAGUUUUUCCCCAGUGUCCUUUUCUAUUCCAGGAUCCUGUCCAGGACACCAUAUCAUAUUUAGUUGUCAAGUCUUCCUAGUUCCUCUUGGCUGUGACAGUUUUUUAGACUUCCCUUGUUUUUGAUGACCUUGACCGUUUUGAGGAGCACUGGUCUGGGGUUUUGUAGAAUGCCCCUCAAUUCAGCCUGUCAGAUGUUUUUCUCAUGAUUAGGCUGGGGUAUUAUUUUUUUGGGAGGAAGACCACAGAGGUCAAGAGCCAUUCUCUUCACAUCUCGUUAAGGGUCUGUACUGUCCAUAUGACUUACCACUGUUGAUGUUGACCUUGAUCACCUGGCUAAGGUAGUGUUCAUCAGGUUUAGCAACUGUAUUUUCAUUUGCUAAAUCUGUAACUCGAUUCCAGGCCUGUCAGUCUUUCAUGACCAGACCUUUGCUUACUGCUGCUGCCAUUUUUCUGCUCCAACCAUAGUGAACUGCUAACAAUUCCUCUAAUGAACUAUUCUCUGUCUCUCUUACUGCCAGGCCUUAGGGCUUGCUCUUUCCUUUGCCUGGAAUGUUCCACUCCCCCACAGCCUCCCAUCCACACCUCCCCUUCACCCGAUUAACUUACUUUUCAGUUGGGCUUCAGUGUUCCGCUUAGGUCUCACUCCUUCCGGGAAGAUUUCUUGCACCCUCCUCUGCCAAGACCAGGUUAGGUGUUGCUUCUCUGCCCUGGUCCUACUGUGUUGUGAUAUUUACCAUCCUGUGGUUGUGAACUGUUUGCUUGUCUCCCUGACCCCAGUGCAUCCCUGACAUCUUACACAGUGCCUUGUUGCAACUCAAUAAAUAAUUGCUGAAUAAAUGAAUGGUUACACCAGGCACUUCAGGUAAAGCCUUUAACACACUACCUGCCUUGUAAACAGUAGAUGCUCAGUAAAUGCUUGUCUUUUUCAAUGUAGGAAAAAUAAUCUUCCCUAGAUCUGAGCAACUGUAAUAAGUUUGUGCUCGCCCGACACCCGCAACACAUGUCCCUACCUGGAGAAGAGAUUCUGGAACAGUGGUCUCCUAGGAUUCCCUGAGAGCCACAGUUACCUGUAUCAAAGUAUCAAGGAGGCCACUUAAUGACAGAGAUAUUAGGGUAAGUAGGCUACUUUCCGUCAGUUUGCAGAUUAAAAAGGCAUCUUUCUCCCAGUGGAGAAACUGAAUUAUGAACCCCUUCGCCCAGAUUUCCAUAGUUGGACGCGCUGACCCAUUAUUUUUAGUGAAAGGGACAAAGGGACCCACCUCCUUCUCUUUUUGCUGCCCAUGUGCCACACACAUGUAAAUGACAUGUGUACCUAUUGUUGCUUGUCCUUGAUGAUGAGUACACUUGUACAUUGAUAUAUUUAUUAGUGUUUUGCUUUUCACUAAUCCAGCAUAGUUGUGACCCCACCCCUGAGACCUAAAGGAAGGAGACACCUCAUAGGGGGUCUCAGGAAUCUCUGAUGAACCUUAGGACUAAUUAUAAUUCUUUCAUUUAUUAUAACUUCAUGCCAGGUAUUUUAUCUGCCUCACCUCUAAUCCUCUCAAUAACCUUGCAUGUUUUUAUUCAUCCCGUAUUACAAAUGAGAAAGCUAAGGUUUGGGUGCUUAAGAAAUUUUCCCCAAGUUUUUUUUGUGGUGGAGCCAGCUUGGAGCUAGGGCAAUAGACUUCAGAGUCUCAGCUCCAUCCUCUCCAUGGUUCAGAAAGUUCUCUAGUUCUGUAAGAGACAGCCAACAUCCCCCAAGGGCUUGUGCUCAUUGGAAUGGCUCUCGGGUCCACUCCUCCCUUUGUAUCCCCAGGUCACCUCACUAGAGCAGACCUCCAUCAGUCAGUGUUUACCCACCUUCCAGAGCCUCCUUCCUGGACUCUUGCCCCCGGAUUCCCCACCCAUAGCACUCUCACACUGCCAUCGCCCAACUCAGGAUCCCAAGAAUGCCCAUUUUCAGCCUUAUAAAUCCUUUGCCUUGCUUCCAAGACCCUAUGGUCUAUUUCUUUUCCAAGCCUUCUCUCCGUGCAUCAGAUUCUUCAUGAAACUUACACUGACUAGUCCCCCACCCAUCUCCCUUUCCUUGGAUCUUCAUGGCACCUAGGUAUGCAAGGCAUAAAGUAGUGUAGAAUGCCCUUCUGGCUUGUGUGGAACCACAGGGGAGUCCCCUGGGUUUCUAAUAUGGUUUUCCCAUCUGGAUUGACACCCCCGAAGGACAAAAACCUCUUGUUAAAAAAGUCAACUUUAUUGAGGUAUAACAUACAUACACCCUGUUUUAAGUGUUGAGUUUGAUAAGGUUUGACAAAUGUAUACACCCAGGUAACCACCGUCACAACCAAGAUAUAGAACAUUUCUAUCACCCCAGAAAUACCUCUGAGCCCCUUUGUAGUCAAUUCCUCCACCCCCGACCCAGGAAGCCACUUGUUGGAUUUCUAUUAAUAUAGAUUAGUUUUGCCUGCCGUUGAACUCCACAAAAAUGCAGUCACAAAGGGUGUAGUCUUUUGUGUCAGCCUAUUUUGGUUAGCACGAUAUUUUAAAGAUUCCUCCAUACUGUUUAUUACUUUCUUCUUGCUGAGUAGUAUUCUAUGGUAGAGACUAUACUACAACUUGAUUGUCCAUGUUGACUAAAUUUGAGGCUGUUUCACAUUUUUGGCUAUUGUGAAUAAAGUAGCUAUGAAUGUUUACACACAAGCCUUUUGUGAAUGUGUUUUCAUUUCUU